Molecule: ribosomal RNA, 303 nt
Filed under: uncultured eukaryote
Lineage: Eukaryota
Description: partial large subunit ribosomal RNA
Rfam family: Eukaryotic large subunit ribosomal RNA
Source: RNAcentral
AUAUCAGUGAGCGGAGGAAAAGAAACUAACAAGGAUUCCCUUAGUAACGGCGAGUGAAGCGGGAACAGCUCAAAUUUAAAAUCUGGCAUUCUUACGGAUGCCCGAAUUGUAAUUGAGAGGGUCUCCUUUUGGUGACCUGGAUGGCCAAAGUUCCCUGGAAAGGGACAACAAGAGGGUGACAUUCCCGUCUGGGCUAUUCAUGGAAUCCAGGAUAAAGGUGGCUCUAAGAGUCGGAUUGUUUGGGAAUGCAGUCCAAAAUGGGUGGUACAUUUCAUCUAAAGCUAAAUAGUGGCAAGAGACCAG